UACUAGAUUUUUUCUUCGCGCUGUUACCAGACCUGCUUCUGUCUAACGUUGGCAGUAUGGUUUCAUGUGUUUUCAGGCAGAUUGCAAAUGGCGCGUAGUAUUUUGUCAGUGGUCAACGUGUGACAGUUUGUAGGAAAAUUGAGAAAAUCGUUUCGAGUAAAGAAGUUACGGGAAGUGAACUGACGGAGAGAGGGGGAGAGAGAGAGAGAGAGAGAGAGAGAGAGAGAGAGAGACACGUGCGAGAAACAAUUUGUAUGGCAAGCACAAGCAUAAACAUUGUCGACCGCGAUACAGAGAUUAAUGAGUGACCGUGCAAUGGGCGACCCCGUACACGAGAAACAAUUUGUAGAGCAAGUAUCAGGGGGUUGUUGGGGGUUGCUGCGGACUGCGGCUUCUGCGGAUCCGCGGGUUCCUGACCGCACGAUGCCUUCUACCUCUGGGAAAACUAGACCCGCGAAACCCCAACACUCGGCUGUCCCUGGACGAGCCUGAUACAGGUUACCUUGACAACACUACUUCGACAUUACACGAGAAUUCCAUCUGUACCACUACCCCUGUAUCCUUUAUCCCGAAUUUACUCCUUCAAUACAUCCCACGAAACCGUCAUUAAAAAUGAACGCGAGACUGGCUAAUUAUUUAAACCUCCCUCCCUAGGUGGAAUGCCAUCAAAAUUGAAUAGACGAAAUGAAAAAAAAAAAAAAGUGAAGUCCCUAACGAAGAACUGCAAAAGAGUAUAAAAGGAGGUGAAAGUGAAGUGAAA
Long non-coding RNA from Cephus cinctus (wheat stem sawfly), 760 nucleotides. RefSeq lists it as uncharacterized. The transcript is spliced from 2 exons. The record is from RefSeq and is a predicted model, not a curated record. Lineage: Eukaryota; Metazoa; Arthropoda; Insecta; Hymenoptera; Cephidae.